Molecule: ribosomal RNA, 406 nt
Filed under: uncultured bacterium
Lineage: Bacteria
Description: partial 16S ribosomal RNA
Rfam family: Bacterial small subunit ribosomal RNA
Source: RNAcentral
AUUGAACGCUGGCGGCAGGCCUAACACAUGCAAGUCGAACGAGUGGCGGACGGGUGAGUAAUGUCUGGGAAACUGCCUGAUGGAGGGGGAUAACUACUGGAAACGGUAGCUAAUACCGCAUACUAUCAGAUGUUCCCAGAUGGGAUUAGCUAGUAGGUGGGGUAAUGGCUCACCUGGGCGACGCUCCCUAGCUGGUCUGAGAGGAUGACCAGCCACACUGGAACUGAGAAACGGUCCAGACUCCUACGGGAGGCAGCAGUGGGGAAUAUUGGACAAUGGGCGCAAGCCUGAUGCAGCCAUGCCGCGUGUGUGAAGAAGGCCUUCGGGUUGUAAAGCACUUUCAGCGAGGAGGCGUUACUCGCAGAAGAAGCACCGGCUAACUCCGUGCCAGCAGCCGCGGUAAUAC